Molecule: ribosomal RNA, 2883 nt
Filed under: human gut metagenome
Description: bacterial LSU rRNA
Rfam family: Bacterial large subunit ribosomal RNA
Source: RNAcentral
UCAAGUGACUAAGUGCAUGUGGCGGAUGCCUUGGCGAUCACAGGCGAAGAAAGACGCGGCAGCCUGCGAAAAGCUGCGGGGAGCUGGCAAACGAGCUUUGAUCCGCAGAUAUCUGAAUGGGGGAACCCACACCGCAAGGUGUAUCCGUAGCUGAAUACAUAGGUUACGGAGGCGAACGAGGAGAACUGAAACAUCUAAGUAUCCUCAGGAAAAGAAAUCAACCGAGAUUCCGGCAGUAGCGGCGAGCGAACCCGGAGGAGCCCAGCUUUUGAUAGUACGAACUUUAGCCGAAAGGUCCUGGAAAGGCCUGCUAUAGUGGGUGAUAGCCCCGUAGGCGAAAGAGUUGGUACGGUACUAAGGAAGCGAGAAGUAGAGCGGGACACGUGGAAUCCUGUUCGAAGACGGGGGGACCAUCCUCCAAGGCUAAAUACUCGUGAUCGACCGAUAGUGAACCAGUACCGUGAGGGAAAGGCGAAAAGAACCCCGGGAGGGGAGUGAAAUAGAACCUGAAACCGCAUGCAUACAAACAGUAGGAGCCUCGUCAGAGGUGACUGCGUACCUUUUGCAUAAUGGGUCAGCGACUUACAUUCUGUGGCGAGCUUAACCGAAUAGGGGAGGCGCAGCGAAAGCGAGUUCGAAAUGAGCGUUCAGUCGCAGGGUGUAGACCCGAAACCAGAUGAGCUAUCCAUGGCCAGGUUGAAGGUGUGGUAACACACACUGGAGGACCGAACCGACUAGUGUUGCAAAAUUAGCGGAUGAGCUGUGGAUAGGGGUGAAAGGCCAAACAAAUCUGGAGAUAGCUGGUUCUCCCCGAAAACUAUUGAGGUAGUGCCUCGUGUGUCGCUCCAGGGGGUAGAGCACUGUUUUGGCUAGGGGGACAUGGAGUCUUACCAAACCAAGGCAAACUCCGAAUACCUGGAAGCGUAAGCACGGGAGACAGAGCACCGGGUGCUAACGUCCGGACUCAAAAGGGAAACAACCCAGACCGCCGGCUAAGGUCCCAAAUAACAGCUAAGUGGAAAACGAAGUGGAAAGGCCGUGACAACCAGGAAGUUGGCUUAGAAGCAGCCAUCCUUCAAAGAAAGCGUAAUAGCUCACUGGUCGAGUCCUUCUGCGCGGAAGAUGUAACGGGGCUAAGCUGUUAACCGAAGCCGCGGAUGCGCUGGUUAUCCAGUGCGUGGUAGGGGAGCGUUCUGUAAGUCUGCGAAGGCGGUUCGAGAGGACUGCUGGAGAUAUCAGAAGUGCGAAUGCUGACAUGAGUAACGUUAAAGCAGGUGAAAAGCCUGCUCGCCGUAAGCCCAAGGAUUCCUGCUCUACGUUCAUCGGAGCAGGGUGAGUCGGCUCCUAAGGUCAGGCCGAAAGGCGUAGCCGAUGGGAAUCAGGUUAAUAUUCCUGAACCUGCGUCAGAUGCGAUGGGGGGACGGAGCAUGGAAGAUCAUCCGGGUGUUGGAAGUCCCGGUUGUUUAGCGUAGGAGGUCUGCAGGCAAAUCCGCAGACGCAUCUCCAAGGCAAAGACACGUGCCGCCACGGCGGCGAAGUGAUCGGAAGUGCUUCCAAGAAAAGCCUCUAAGCCCCAGUCUGACGCGGACCGUACCGCAAACCGACACUGGUGGGCGAGCUGAAUAUGCUCAGGCGCUUGAGAGAACUCGGGAGAAGGAACUCGGCAAAUUGACACCGUAACUUCGGAAGAAGGUGUGCCGUAGUACCGUGAGAGGAGAGACACCUUGAGCGGGAAACGGUCUCAGAGAAUAGGUGGUUGCGACUGUUUAUUAAAAACACAGCACUCUGCAAAGUCGAAAGACGACGUAUAGGGUGUGAUGCCUGCCCGGUGCUGGAAGAUUAAUUGAUGGGGUGAGAGCCCUUGAUCGAAGUCCCAGUAAACGGCGGCCGUAACUAUAACGGUCCUAAGGUAGCGAAAUUCCUUGUCGGGUAAGUUCCGACCUGCACGAAUGGCAUAACGAUGGCCACACUGUCUCCUCCCGAGACUCAGUGAAGUUGAAAUGUUUGUGAUGAUGCAAUCUACCCGCGGCUAGACGGGAAGACCCCAUGAACCUUUACUGCAGCUUUGCAUUGAACUGUGAACCGAUUUGUGUAGGAUAGGUGGGAGGCAGAGAAGAGGCCACGCCAGUGGCCUUGGAGCCGACCUUGAAAUACCACCCUGAUUUGUUUGCGGUUCUAACCACGGACAGUGAUCCUGUCUUGGGACCGUGCAUGGUAGGCAGUUUGACUGGGGCGGUCUCCUCCUAAAGGGUAACGGAGGAGUACGAAGGUACGCUAGGUACGGUCGGAAAUCGUGCUGAUAGUGCAAUGGCAAAAGCGUGCUUGACUGCGAGAGCAACAACUCGAGCAGAUGCGAAAGCAGGUCAUAGUGAUCCGGUGGCUCUGAAUGGAAGGGCCAUCGCUCAACGGAUAAAAGGUACUCUGGGGAUAACAGGCUGAUACCGCCCAAGAGUUCAUAUCGACGGCGGUGUUUGGCACCUCGAUGUCGGCUCAUCUCAUCCUGGGGCUGUAGUCGGUCCCAAGGGUAUGGCUGUUCGCCAUUUAAAGAGGUACGUGAGCUGGGUUUAAAACGUCGUGAGACAGUUUGGUCCCUAUCUGCCGUGGGCGUUGGAAGAUUGACGGGGGCUGCUCCUAGUACGAGAGGACCGGAGUGGACGCACCUCUGGUGUACCGGUUGUCACGCCAGUGGCAUUGCCGGGUAGCUAAGUGCGGAAGAGAUAACCGCUGAAAGCAUCUAAGCGGGAAACUUGCCUGAAGAUGAGUCUUCCCGGAGGUUGAACCUCCCUCAAGAGUCGUCCGAGACCAGGACGUCGAUAGGUCAGGUGUGUAAGCGCUGUAAGGCGUUGAGCUAACUGAUACUAAUUGCUCGUGAGGCUUGAUCCU